GCUCCUGUGCUCGGGCCCUGACAGCGCCCGGCAAGUGCCAGGCGGGCAGCCGGCCGGCCUGCAGCUCCCGCUGGGGAGCCGAGCGGGCGGGAGAUGCCCCCCUAAAGCGGUUCACUCCGCCGCCGCCACCCUGCCCGGCUUUAAUGUCAACAUUAGAAACGCCCUUAACAUGCGUGUCACGUAUCCGUGGCCAUCCGCCCGCUGGCGCCUGGCGCUGCCGGGCUGCUGCGAGCCGCUGUCACCGCAGCGCUGCGUUGGCUCACGGAUGGGUUUGCGCUCUGUUUUGGUGUUUGCUCAGGGUAGAUUCCUGGAGCAGGUUUAGGGCUGCGGGGCUCGGCUUUGGCACUCGGCUGGAAUGCCCGGAAGAAAAGGCUGCCCUGAGUGCUGGUCGAACAGCUCUCUGACAGAACAGGUUCGCGUAGGCAAAUACAUAAAUAGUGAGCCUUGGCUGCACGUCACUGCUCCCGCCUGCUUCAGGAGUUCACCUUGCACGGCCGGGGCACUCAGUAAUUUUAUGAAAAUGAGAGCAAUGCGGUGCAGGCGAUGUUAAUAGGAAUAUGCUUCAUAUUCAUGCAUGCCUAGGCUUGGCAUCACCAUCCUGAUUCUUGAAAUCAGAAAAAUGUACAUACGGAGGGUGCACAAGUGCAUCUUUCUCACAUCCCUAUGCUUCUGCCUGGUGCAUUGGCCUCCUAUUCCCUGACCUUUGCUGCCUUUUCUGGUGAGGACUGUGUAAUUGCAUUUUGCUUAUCAUCCUAGGGCCUGCUGGCUACCUUGGUGUCAUAUUGGCUUUGUAAAACUUAAGCCAGGCUGCCUGCAAGGAUUACACGGAUGGACAGAGCCAGAUCUUGGGAAUGCUUCAAACAGCAGGAUCCCAGGACCCACCUGCCAAAUUGGAGAAGAUAAGAUGGAAAACAAGCAAGGAGCAAGAAUACAAGUGGUAUUUCCCUACUGUUCUCCUGGAUAACAGAAUAAGCCCACAGCACUGAGGCCUGCACAGAUCACACUGAUAACUUCUAUGUCAAACAAUACAAUUCAAGAGGCAGACUUCUGAGACUUCACUGGGGACUUCCAUCUCCUUCCUCUCCCCAAAAGACUCCAUCAAGCUGUGAGAUUUUUUUUUCUAUAAAAGUUAUAUCAAAUUUUCUUCAUAAUAUCACAUGUAUUUAUACACCUGCUAAUCACAUUAUAUAUUAUAUUUUCUACCAAUUUGUUCAAUAUUUCUGCAACCUUUGUUUUAAGGCUUGACCUCUUUAAAUUUCGUGAGUUUCAGUAUAGUCAGUAUGACAUUAGAAAGAUUCAGCAGCAAAACUUGGUCUUUCAUAAAUAUAGUCACUCCAUAUUGAUUAUUUUUUAUUGAUGGUUUUUUAAAGAAAAAUAGAUAAUGCAGGUCAACCACACAGACUAUUAAUCACAAGACUAUGAAUAAAUUAUGAGGCAAGCAUUACAAUUUUCUUGCAAACUGACUAUGACUUUUACCAAUGUAUUAAUGCUACAUAAAGCAAACAAAGAAAGCUGUUUAAAAGAUUUCUGCAUAAGACUGAUACUGCAUUUCUCCCUGUGAUUUCUGAUUAUCAAUCUAAUAGUUCUAUUUCCAGUCCAGCAAUUAAUUUCUUAGUGACUUUGCUGGAAAAGAAAAGGUAAUUCAGCAAAGAUAAAUGUUCAAUAUUUGCAAACACUUUUUUCCUGGGCAUUGGGUAUCUCCAUCUUCAGAAGGAGUAACCCACCUGCAUCACGGAAUGCCAGGCAGCAUUCAGGGUGCUCUUUAGCUGCUGGUGAAGCAGACACAGAGCAAUCACAAAGGUGCUUUCAAACACUCCUCUGAUGCUGGGACGGCUCAUGGCUCCCCCAUGAAGGUACAGGUGUGGUAUCAGGGGAGGUGAGGGGUGGUUUCAGUGCCUGCUCCCCAGCAGUCACAGUGUUUGUGGGUGUUUAUGUCAGCAUUGCAAACAGGACAUUCCCCUUGAGCUGCUUUAAUGGGGACAAACUGCUCUUCCCAGCCCAGCAGCUCCAGAUAUUUAGAGAUGUUUGGUUCCCUGUUGGUACCAACAGCUUCAGGUUCUCUGUGAAUGUCAAACACCUGCUGCAGUCAAGCAGCCUGAGCAAGUAAAGCCUCUUUGGUGUAAAGGGCGACGGCUGAAAUGUAAGUAUGGGGAGGCCUGGCAGGUUGCCUGUAUCACACUCAGCCAGUCCCAUGGUGGCAAGUGCCAUGUGCUUAUGAUGGUGGAGGCAGCCACAGGAGUGCCAGCACCCAGAAACGCUAUCCUGGGCCUUGGAAAGCAAAUCUUAUGGCUACAUGGUAAUCCAGAAAGAGCUGAGUCAGACAAUGGAACUAAUUUCCAAGACAGCCUUAGAGACACUUGGGCCAAAGAACAUGCCAUUAAGUGGUUGUAUCACAUCCCCUGUCGUGCACCAGUCUCUGGAAAGAUCCAGUAAUGUAAUGGACUGUUAAGGACUAUGCUGACAGCAAUGGGUGGUGGGAUGUCAAAACAUUGGGGUACACGUUCAGCAAAAGCCACUUUGUUAGUGAGCACUAGAGGGCCAAUUGGGAUGGCCCUGCCCAAUCAAAACUUUUACAUACUGUAGAAGUGGAUAAAGUUGCUGUAGUACACGUUAAAAACACACUGGGGAAAACCUGGAUUAUUCCUGCCUCAUGCAAAGGCAAACCCAUCCAUGGGACUGCUUUUGCUAAAAAACCUGGAUGCACUUGGUGGGUGAUAUGGCAGGAUUUAAAAGUCUAGUGUGCCUCAAAGGGAUUUGACUUUGGGUGAAAAUAAACAAUUAAUUACGCUGUGUUAUAACUACCCAAUGGUAAUAUUAGCACUUCCAUGGUGGCUACAUGUGCAUCACCUCAAUGAGCAUGUCAUGGCAUCAAUCUUAGCCACGAGCAUUCUGGGAAUCUGAGGCUGGCAUCCCUCUGAUGGCCACAUUCACACCAAUGAAGAAUGAACUUGGAUGAAAAAGAACCAGUACAGCAGUGCUGGAAUGAGAACUGACUCAAAUAUGCACCGUGCAACAAUCCAACACCUCACACCAUCUUUCCUGCUUGAAGGACUGUUAUCAAAGAUGGAGGCCAAAGUCAUGGAGUAAAAGAAUUCAACAAACUUUUUUUUGUGUGUGUCUGUGGAUGUUUUAUGAACAUUUAACAGAGGCAUUCCAUAGACUAAGAGAAUAAUAUUUGUAUGUAUAUCUAUCAGAACAGAUGAAUAGGGAAGGUGAUGGGAUAUUGGGCAGUGUGAAACUUGGCAUGAUAUAAAGGUAUGGAAUAAGGGGUGGAUAUUGUCCUGGUUUCAGUUAAGGUAGAGUUAAUUUCUUCUCAGUAGCUAUUACAGUGCUGUGCUUUGGAUUUGUGAUGAGAAUGGUGUUGAUAACACACCGAUGUUUUGGUUUUUUCUAAGUCAUUUAUCCCUGGUCAAGGGCUUUUUUUUCCUUGUGCCUUGCUCUGCCAGUGAGAAGAUAAGCAAAAGAAACUGGGAGGGAGCAUAGCUGGGACAGGUGAUCCAAACUGACCAAGGGAUAUUCCACACCACAGAAUGUCAUGCUCAGUAUAUAAACUGGGGGAGUCACCUGGGAGGACAGCUGAUCUGGGUUUAGGAAGGGGGGUCUGGCAUUGGUCAGCAGAUGGUGAGCAAUUACAUUGUGCAUCACUUUGGAUUUUUCCAUUAUUGUUAUUAUUGGUAUUA
Molecule: non-coding RNA, 3680 nt
Organism: Cyanistes caeruleus (blue tit)
Lineage: Eukaryota; Metazoa; Chordata; Aves; Passeriformes; Paridae
Source: RefSeq, a predicted model, not a curated record